UUAAGUUCAGCGGGUAUCCCUACCUGAUCCGAGGUCAACCUGAAAAAAUUGGGGGUUAUUGGCAAGUAACCACCUGGAUCUCCAAAGCGAGAAGAAUUACUACGCUUGAAGCCAAAUGGCACCGCCACUGAUUUUAAGACCUGCCAGAAACUGGCAAUGUCCAAUACCAAGCAAAGCUUGAGGGUUGUAAUGACGCUCGA
This 200-nucleotide unclassified non-coding RNA is filed under the name Thelebolus sp. RNAcentral describes it as "partial internal transcribed spacer 2". RNAcentral also lists the same sequence under 1 other name. The record is from RNAcentral. Lineage: Eukaryota; Fungi; Ascomycota; Leotiomycetes; Thelebolales; Thelebolaceae.